AGUGAACGCUGGCGGUAGGCCUAACACAUGCAAGUCGAACGGCAGCACAGUAAGAGCUUGCUCUUACGGGUGGCGAGUGGCGGACGGGUGAGGAAUACAUCGGAAUCUACUUUUUCGUGGGGGAUAACGUAGGGAAACUUACGCUAAUACCGCAUACGACCUACGGGUGAAAGCAGGGGAUCUUCGGACCUUGCGCGAUUGAAUGAGCCGAUGUCGGAUUAGAAAGUUGGAGGGGUAACGGCCCACCAAGGCGAAGAUCCGUAGCUGUUCUGGGAGGAUGAUCAUCAACACUGGAACUGAGACACGGUCCAUACUCCUACGGCAGACAGCAGUGGGGAAUAUUGGACAAUGGGCGCAAGCCUGAUCCAGCCAUACCGCGUGGGUGAAGAAGGCCUUCGGGUUGUAAAGCCCUUUUGUUGGGAAAGAAAAGCAGCAUGUUAAUACCCCGCUGUUCUGACGGUACCCAAAGAAUAAGCACCGGCUAACUUCGUG
This 492-nucleotide ribosomal RNA is filed under the name uncultured bacterium. Its description in RNAcentral is "partial 16S ribosomal RNA". It matches the Rfam family "Bacterial small subunit ribosomal RNA", at positions 29 to 507 of the family's 1533-position model. The record is from RNAcentral.